GCGCCAGUAGCUCAAUUGGCAGAGCAGCUGACUCUUAAUCAGCGGGUUGUAGGUUCAAGUCCUACCUGGCGUA
This 73-nucleotide transfer RNA is filed under the name Nocardioides sp. HDW12B. It matches the Rfam family "tRNA". From Rfam's summary of the family: Transfer RNA (tRNA) molecules are approximately 80 nucleotides in length. Their secondary structure includes four short double-helical elements and three loops (D, anti-codon, and T loops). Lineage: Bacteria; Bacillati; Actinomycetota; Actinomycetes; Propionibacteriales; Nocardioidaceae. RNAcentral also lists the same sequence under 1 other name. The record is from Rfam by way of RNAcentral.